AUUCCUCCUUCCUGAUGAACCGUAAUGCCAGUUAAUUUGGUGUUGCGGGGAAACUGGACUGUUACUUUGAAAAAAUUAGAGUGUUUAAAGCAAGCUAACGCUUGAAUACAUUAGCAUGGAAUAAUGAAAUAGGACGUUCGAUCCUAUUUUGUUAGGUUUCUAGGAUUGACGUAAUGAUUAAUAGGGAUAGUUGGGGGCAUUAGUAUUCAAUUGUCAGAGGUGAAAUUCUUGGAUUUAUUGAAGACUAACUACUGCGAAAGCAUUUGCCAAGGAUGUUUUCAUUAAUCAAGAACGAAAGUUAGGGGGAUCGAAGACGAUCAGAUACCGUCGUAGUCUUAACCAUAAACUAUGCCGACUAGGGAUCGGAUGAUGUUAAUUUUAUAAUGACUCAUUCGGCGCCUUACG
Molecule: ribosomal RNA, 405 nt
Filed under: uncultured Glomus
Lineage: Eukaryota; Fungi; Glomeromycota; Glomeromycetes; Glomerales; Glomeraceae
Description: SSU rRNA
Rfam family: Eukaryotic small subunit ribosomal RNA
Source: RNAcentral